UGCUGAAGGAUCUUGAGUGCUCCUGCCAGAAAGGAAAGUAUUUAUUAUCUCUCUUUUACAGAUGAGGAAACUGAGACACUGUGAAAUUAAAAGCUUGGGGAAAUUAGUACACAGUAAAUUACGGUGUGAAUGUACUGUGUACGAACCACCCUGCACGAACUCAUCAGGCGGACUGGCAAAGAAAAAGGAUUAAAGUCCUUUAAAUUAUCUCGCAUUUACCACGGACAGGCAGCUACCACGGAUCAGCCCCUUUGGAACCCGCAGCGAGCCGUCCAUGAGGCGAAUCCCUGGGAGGAGAGGAAGGACAGAGGGAUUGCAGGCUGCAUCCAGGGAGCACAGGCAAACCAGGCUCACUGGGAUCUAAUGUUGUAAAGGAAGAAGUUUCUCAGGACAUCGGUGACUUGCUAGCUGAGAGCGAGAAGUAAUCUGUAGUGUCUCAUGACUCUGCUGGAUGAACAGUGUGGUCACAGUGACUUUUGGAGCAACGGUCACUGCUGGAGUUAAAGGAAGUUUUGGUUCCCAAAACCAGAAAGAAGGAAGUGGAGGAGGGAACAGCUUGAGAACUAUCACAAGGAUGAUAAGGAAGGGAAGAACUGCACACGUGAGAGGUGAUGCCAAGGAGUAAGAUCUGAGUUCCUAUUGUACUGGAACUGCUGCAUGAAAACAAAUUUGCCUGUGUGUUUCUACCAAACCCUGAAGGCUUGAGCACAGACAAACACAGGGAUGAGGAGGGACUCCUGGUGUGCAUCAAUCAGACUUCAGUGAAGAGGGACCAAAAUAGCUGAUUAGUUGGUCCAUAGCACGCUAUCCUCAGAACGAAACCCAGACCUUCAGGUAUCCCAGCAAAGAUCUUAAAGUGUCUCAUUUUCCCUCAUACAUCUCCAUAGCCAGCAAAAAUAUUCCAGGAAAUGUUCCUCAUUUCAACACUAGGUACGUCAGGUAAAGGUAUUUUAAGCAGGAGAUAGUUUAAGCAGAGUGACACAUAUUUCCAUGCUUUCCUAACCCCCGCUUGAAAGCACAUCUGCCAGUAAGUAGUUUGUAACUUGACAGUCAGCCACGGCUAUUUUUUCAAUGCUGUAUAAUGUUCUAUAAUAUUCUCAUUCCCUGUUGCUGACCUUUUUUUUUCCUUCACUUUCUCUCUUUUUUUCCCCUCUUUUUGUAGUAACCUUUUUACCUUCUUUUCCCCUGCUUAGACCCAUUAGCAGGAUGUUGUGCAAUAUGGUGCUUGUCAUCUGUUUCAAAGACACAGUGAUGAGAUACAGGUAUGCCAGAUGGAUAAACCUAGUGUGACUAAUUAUUGUGUAUUUGCCUUUAAUUAUUAUCAUUUAUUACCAGAGAAAAGACAAUAGAGGUUCUCAGACUCAGAAGGGAAUGUCGGCAGAAGGGGAUUGUUUUCUU
Meleagris gallopavo (turkey) is the source of this 1398-nucleotide non-coding RNA. NCBI's taxonomy places the organism in Eukaryota, Metazoa, Chordata, Aves, Galliformes, Phasianidae. The record is from RefSeq and is a predicted model, not a curated record.